This is a long non-coding RNA of Passer domesticus (house sparrow), 7041 nucleotides long. RefSeq lists it as uncharacterized. The record is from RefSeq and is a predicted model, not a curated record. The transcript is spliced from 3 exons. Lineage: Eukaryota; Metazoa; Chordata; Aves; Passeriformes; Passeridae.
GCAGACUUAAACUGCUGAGAGAGUUUAGGUCCCUUCAGCCCAUAGCCCACUGGGCUGAUCUUUAGUUUGGGAAGCAGGAGAUGUAUUUCGAAAAAGAGCUGUGUGUAACCUGGUAGUGAUGGCAUUUACUGGGGAGGGGGCACGCACUGGUUCCAGUCGCUACACCAAGGACUUGAAAAGAUGCAAUUGUUGGGUAACAGGGAGAAGUUCUCUCUCCAUCCCAGUAGAGAGUGAGAGAGAUUCUAGAUGUAAUUUUGUUCAGCAGCUUGGACAUAUCUGUGAUGGGAAAGACGAGGUCCUCAGCCUCUCCAUCAGUUCCUGUGAGAAAUAUAAGCCAUGGCAUUGUGUCAUGAGGAGGGACUGGGCUCCCAGCUUAGUGUCAGGGACAGCUACUCCUGCCAGUGAUGCCUCCUUUUAAUUAUCUCCUGCACUUAAUAUGACUGAUGUUCCCAUGCGCAGUGUGACAACUUCUCCCUUGGCUGGCACAGGGAAGUUGAAGAGUGACAGUGUUGGCACUGGCACUGCAAGAAAAUGCAGUAAAAAUAGAAGCAUGGGAGCUUUAAUAAUCUCUAUGUAUUCCAGGGUGUAAAAAAAAAUUACUUAAAGGUGGGAAUAAAAUCUGGCUUGCAUCUCCUGUAUCAGAGGCACAGGUUACCUUCUCCAGCAGCCAAGUGCUCCCUCCCUCUCCAGCCCUGACCCCAGUCACUGUCUCAUGCAGGUCCUGCUUUCCUCUGGCCACGCUGAGGCAAUUUAACCCGCUAAUCUUGUGGAAGACUAUAUUUUGAUGGAUCAGUUUUUCAUUGGGUUUGUGAUUAGAGGCUCUCACUAUCCAGUCAAAUAAGCUUUAGAGCUGAGGGGAGGGACUGGAGCAAGAGGAAAUAAGGAGGAAGCAGUAAAGGGAGAAUUGUCCCCUCCUGGCAGUAGGGAUGCUUUAGAUUAGCUCAGCCAUAUCAUCUGUCUGGACUGUGAGAGUAAAUUCUGCUCUGUUUUCUGUUAUUGCUUGCUUUAUGCUUUGUUUGUUUUGGUUUUUGAUAGGAAGAAAUGUAGCUGUAUAUAUUUGGGAGAGGGUUUUGGGCAAACAUCCUGGUCUGACAUCUGUUCAGAGCAGCUUGGACAGGAAUUUCUAGACCCCCAACCCCCCCAAAAUUUGGAUUUAAAUGCUUCCCUGUCCAGCACAUCACAAUUGCCAGCGGCCCCCAGGCUAUUUCAAGAACACUGAGAUGUUUAAUUCAGCCCAGGCUCUGUGCAGGUCACCCUGCUUGUGGCUUCUUCCCACGGUGCCAGCUACUGCUCCCAGUCCCUUUGAGGAGUAGCUCUAGGUCACACAGAAAACCAGGGCAAAGCCAGGAGUGACAUUCUCCUUUCCUGUGUUACAGUCUAGUAUCUUAAUUAUUAUUUCAGUUCUUCCUGUUCAGUGUGAGGGUCCCUCCCCUCCUCUCCCAUAUUAGUGUGUUUCUUUUAAGUGUCAGCAACAGAGGAAAAUCAUCUGCGGAAAUUCAGCUCUAGGGAAAAAAAGGGGGGAAAAAAGCUGUUAUAGGCAUUCAUUCAUUCAUAUUUAAGAAUGAAUUUUCUUCAGCUGUGCUGUGACCUCACUUAUACUGUCAGGAGAACUGUUAGAUGAAGAAUGUUAGAGCAUCCUUUUUAAGUUGCCUUGUAAAGUUUUGGGGUCUUGCUAACAACAUUAUUUUUUUCAGCCAAAGAAUGGAAGGAUGUUUAAAAUAUUUCAUCAUCAGAGUCCUUGUGGUCUGCAGGAAAAAAUUAUCCCAGCUAUUACUAUCUGUGUGAAUAUAAUAUUUCCCUCAUUUCAGCUUAUUUUUCUUAUGUCUGCCUUGUUUUGGGGAACCUAAUCUGAAUAGGCAGACUGUGAUUUGUGAUAUUUGUGUCAGAGGAUCAGGCCCUGAAGUUCGUUGCUUCUGAACUAUUAAGCUAUAACUGUGGAAAGGUGCCACCCAAAUAUAAGAGAGGAAUCUUGUCAGUCUUCCUGUUGUAGAAUUUUGUUCUUUUAUCUUGAUUUAAAAUGUUUCGAUAUAAAAUUCUCCUGUGUUCUUAUUUCUUAAAAGCUUCUCUAAUAACAGCACUUGGCUUGUGCUCCCCACCUCAAACCCAUGGAAAACAGCAAACCUGCCAUCGUAUUUAAUGUGCUUCCAGAAUUUCUUGAUCAGAGCUUAACUGCUGUAGGAUAACAGCAACAACCACCACCAUCACCACCAAAUAAUGAGAACCAAAUAAGCCAGAGCACUGCAGGGACCUUACAUGUGAAAAAAACAUCCUGUUCUGUUCUAUACUUGCUUGCAAGUUAUGAAUAAUGACUGAGGACGUUUGGAGAAGGAUGAGAAUCCCCUUGGCAGCUGGAAGUGUUUGGAUGUGAGGAUAUUAUCUCAGGUCAUGAACCCAGAAAGACGUGGAAGAGCCCACACACCUUCCUCUGGGAGAGAAGGAUGAGGAAGCACAGAACUGACAUUGCCCUGCCGAUGUCUUUGGCCAUCACCAUUUUCACAUGUGUUAACCCUGCUGCCUUCUUCAUCGGUGUUGGGGAGCAGAGCCUUGGAAACACAGGAAAACAAUCCCAACAGUGUGCUGCAAACUUUUAGGGACUAAGCUUCCUAAUCACUACCGUAUGGCUCAUAAAAGGGGCAACCUGAUACCAUGUACCAAGAGGUUGUUAUUCCUCCUUUCUCCCCUAUCCCACUCCAAAUGUUAGAACAAUAAAUACAUUUGCCUCUUGUUUAAGAUCACUUAAAAUAAGUUGUUUUAAUUAAACCUCCUGGCAAUCUAUCUGCACUAAGUGAUUAAGUGCCUCUUCUUUCAGUGAAAGGAGAAGGGAUUAUCACAGGACAAGACUGACUGAAUUGUGGACAGAACUAGAACUGGGAAGAAGAAAUGCUGCUCAGGAGAAGGAAUGAGCGGAUGGGGAAGGACAGAAGAGCUUCUUUUAGGUGACAAUGCUGGGCCACAUGGACUUGAAGUGUUUCUGCAGAUAUUCCAAACCCACCUGGAUGUGUUCCUGUGUAACUUGCCUUGACAGAGGGGUUGGUCUGGGUAAUCUCCAGAGGUCCCUUCCAACCCUAAUGACGCUGUGAUUCUGUGUGGGACAGUUCCAUGGAAGCAUGGAACUACUCCUAUGGGGACUCCUCCAUGACCUGAAAUUCUGCACUGAGGCAGAAAUGUGGCAAGGUCCUGAUGGAAGGCAGCUCUGCCUCAGGUGCCAACUCCCACUGGCCUCAAUCCUUAAGCAUACAUGUGAUCUUGCCUGGAUAUGUUUCCCUGAACCACAGCACACAAUGAGUUGAAAAAAAGAGAGUAGAGUGUGUGGGUGGGGACAUUUCUGUCAAACAUCCAGUUCUUCACCUCACUACCAGCACUGGGGGAGAGCUGGACCCCCUUAUUCUGUGGUACUUUACUCCAUAGAACUGAAGUUAUUAGGAUCCUCAUGGGUAAAGCAUCACCAAAAGAUAAGAGAGGGCAGUGGGCUGUGUUACUGUAGCACUGCUCUAUCACUAAGAUAGUUUCAGGCCAGAUUUCCAACUCCUUUUUCCUUGGAGAUCCUCUUUCAGCAAAUGUAGUUGCAUUGACUUUAGAAAUCUGAUUCUGAAUUUUCUUCAGAGAUGUGAGAUCCUCAUGAUCUGGACGUUGUUGUUGUUGUUAUUAUUAUUGUUAUUGCUAUUAUUAUUAAUAAUAUUAUUGUUAUUAUAUGCCUUCUAGUCAUUGUUUAGAUUUGUAAAGAUUUACUCUUUCAAAGACUAAUUUAUAGCACUACUUUAAUUCUGUUUUAAAUAGGUAAGAAGUAGGGGGUGAAAAAGGACUUCUACUGCAAAAGUCUUACUUAACUCAGAGGGGAUUUAAAUUCACCCAAUUCAACACUGCUUGGGCAAAUUCUUAAUUUUAAGAACUUCAAAUGUUUUUGAUUUUGGAACAGUGGUGUGGCGCAGAAGCAAAUAGUGUUACAUUAGCUCUUGCAACCAUUUUGCUGUGAAUUUUAUGUCAGGAUUUUCAGAAGUUAAAAUCUAAAAAUCCAGCCCCUGAUCAUGGGGACAGCUCCCAGUAAAUGUAAGCAGGAGACACAUGGCAGCAGAGCACAGAGCACAGUCAUUUGCCUGCAUGUCUACAGCAAAGCCAUUAAAACCAGUCCGCUUCUUGGUCUGAGGUUUCCUUUAAACAUUUUCUGUAUUUUAAACAUUCCACUCAGAUUUCUUCUGCAUUGUGGCAAAUGCCAGGAUUCAAAGAGCUGUCAUCAGCUGCCACCAUGGCCACUGCCCCUUCCCUGAGACAAAACAUGCCACUGCAUCCUUCCCAGGACUGCGUUCAUGCUGACAGCUUUCAGUCCCUACAGCUUCAACAGCUCCGUUUUCUCCCAUCUGAUGUAUUUUAUCUCCCAAAUUUUUUCCAGUUUAAAGCCAGCUUGAAGAGACUCUUGGUGGGCUUAAAGUAGUUGGGAAUGAAGUGGAUGUGAAGUGGGUAAACAGAAUACUCCAGAAAACUGUUCCUCUAGGGCUGUUCCUCUAGGGUAAUGAUCAGUCUGGGGUCAAAUGGGCACUGGGAGGAUGGAUCCCAAUCUGGUUGCAACUCCUGCCACUGGAGCUGUUACAUUCUCUAUCAGCUUUUGGCUUGGCUGUUCUGAUUUCUCACAUUUUUGUGAUAAUUUUACAAGUGUUUCAACUGCUUGCCAGAAGGUGUGUCAGGUGUCUUGUCUAACUUUUCUUUUUGCUGAUUCUUGUUUCCCUGAGUACCUCAAGAAAUCAUUUAAACUAAGAAAGGGUCCAAAACAGCAAUAGUCUGUAGUUGUUUGGGAAAGUUUGCAUUUCAAACUAGAAAUUUAAAUUUCUGCUAAAAUUGCAACCAGAUCAGAACUUCUGAUCCAUUUUUUUUCCCUCUGAAGAAUAUGGGUAGACUUUUUGGAAGCCUGAGUUACAUUGUACAUCAAUCAGAUGUAGGUUUAUAUCCAUCCCUUCAAAGUCCUUCUUGAGUACCCCAUCUUUCAAAUGCAGUUGGCUGCACCUUUGGAGACCAGGAAGAAAGUUGAGGGUUUAGGCACUAGACAAUCUCUCUGCUACAGCACUAAAUUAAAACAAAGCUAUCUGAAAUAAUUGUUUCUAGAACUGAUACUGCCAGGAGCAUGAGUGGACAUGAAAUAACUUUUAUUUCAGGGCUAUACAUGAUAUCUGAUUGAUGGUGGAGCUGAUACUGCACCCAGGAUGCCCAAGGUUCCACUGUGGUUUUUCCAGUUUGUUUGACACUUUGAAAUAUGUAUCAGGAUGCCACAUGGAAAAUGAAGGCCUUGAUUAUGAUUUUCAGAUUAAUGAUCUCAUUUGUUCAGAAUGGAUCAUUUGUUUUUGUAGGACCUGCUUUUUAUUUCUCAAUUAAUAGAGAAAACACUACUUGUGGAAAUUGGGUGAUAUUUCUAAGGCAAUUGGUAAUUUCUGUAACUUCAUAGCAUGACAUGCAAGUUUUAUUGGAUUUGUUUCCAUCAGAGUGCCACGUGCCAACAGGAGAAGGGGAUGGAAGAAUAGGAUGCUCUUUCUGUGACAUUUUAGAAACAUUCCCUUUGUUUAAAAUUAGUCCAGUGUCCCUGGGACAGGGCAGAGGCAGGGAGGGGAUUUUGUGUUGCCAAGGACAGAAUGUCAAGACUUGUGGGCUCUUCUGCUUGGAUGAAGAGGAGAAAAUGGGUUGUGCCUGUGGGGCUGCUGCCUUCACAGGGACGCUGCAGCCCCAAAACAAACCUGUGCUCCACCACUGGGGCCCUUCUGCUUCCUGUGGCUGCCCUGGAGGUGCAAGGUGUUUGUUUCUCCCAAGUGGAUGCUUAUUAAGUGUCACAUUCCACAUGACUCUCAUGUAAAAAAAAAAAAAAAAAAAAAUUAAAAAAGAUUCCUGUAGUCAGAGGGCCAAAAUUAGCUUCUCCUUAAAAGCCUGGAAAGGCAAAGUGGAGAUUAAAACCUACGUGGGUCACAGUAACCCUCUCAAAAUGAAGAGACUGAUACAGAAUGCUGAGGAUGAACUUUCUUUUCCCAUUUCCAGACCAAAAAAACAAAGCAAAAAAACCCACCCCAAACUCCAAAAAAGUCCCCAAAACCAACCAAACAAACAACAAAACAAACCAACCAAACAACAACAAACGACAAAAAACCCACCCAACCAAACAAAAAAAACCCAAAAACAAAAAACAAACAAAAAACACACACAAAAAACCUAACAAAAAAUAAAAAAAAAACAAAAACAAACCAAAAAACCCCAAACAAACAAACAAACAAACAAACAAAAAAAGCUCUAUAGGUGUUUCCAGGUGCUGUUUUGAAAUGCAGUGGCUCUGAUUGCAGGUCCUCCAGGUCCAAUGCCAUCUAUUUUCAACUGUCUUAUGUCAACAUGAAAACCUUUAUUAGGUUCCAGCCCAAAAUGUAAAGGAAUUAUGAAAGUCAACUGAGUCAGGUAAAAACGUGGAAGGGGUGGAGGGGUUGGAAUUUGUGGUGUCAAAAAGAGAGAAUAUUAAAAAGCCAAAAUUCAGAAUACUUUUGAAAGGCUCAUUAGGAGCCUUUAGGCAUGGAGAGGUAUGGUAAAUUCAUCAUGAAGCAGCCCCUUCCAUAAGCUGAUGUCAGACGGGCUGGUAAAGGGUGAUAAACUCUCUUACCCAAGUAUCCAAGCUGACCAAACCAUUUAGCAAUUAGGAAGAGAAUACAUGAGCAUUUACUUCACAGGCACCUGGUGUGAUUUCUGCCCCUUUGCUGGUGGUUAAAUACCUGUUUAGAACAACCCAAAACUUAAAAAUCUACUUUUAAUAGGAUUUUUGUGCCAUCAUAAUGCUAAUAAAAUCUAAAUAUAUGUGCCUUAUGAGUACAGCUGUGCAAAUACAUUUUCUGUAAGAACCAAAAGUGAGGAAAGAGGGAGAGGAAGGAAUUGGGUGGAGUCAAGUCAGUUUACAAGCAAGAAAUGGGAGGGGGAAUGCAUUUCAGACCUAAUGAGACAUCUCAUUUGGAGGAUUCAAUUUUUUUUUUUUUAAUAGAAUGUAACCGAAGAUCCAAGUGAAACUUUUAUGCAAAAUAAAAAUUUGAA